This is a non-coding RNA of Ictidomys tridecemlineatus (thirteen-lined ground squirrel), 581 nucleotides long. The record is from RefSeq and is a predicted model, not a curated record. Lineage: Eukaryota; Metazoa; Chordata; Mammalia; Rodentia; Sciuridae.
UCUUUAGUUUGCCUUCACUUUUUGAAGAUAAUUUUGCUGGGUAUAAGAUUCUCAGUUGACAUUUUAAUUUUUAACUAUUGUUUCUGAGAAGUCCACUAGUAAUCUUAUUGCAAUAAGCCAUUUUCUCUUGCUGCUUUCAGGAUUUUUUUCUUGUUUUGUUUCCAAAUAUUUUUAUUAUAGUAUUUCUGAGUGGAUCUUCAGUACAGAGGUAGUUCUACCCAGACAGCCUCUAGAAUCUACUCUAUCAGCAGACUGAGCAAGAGAUAUUGGGGUCCCAGUACUCUUGGUCUGGGGUGCAGUUACUACAAUACAGAAUAUGGAAAUCCCAGCACCCUGCCCCUCCUGGAGCAAAAUCAAUUCCAGACUGGAAGAUGAUUUGGCAUGAAGAGAAACCAGUCACCUGAGAAUUUCUGGGAGAAGAAGCAGGCACAAGAUGUAAAGAUGGGUUGAGUUUGGUGGUACCGAGUUUGAAGUUCAAAUGGAUUGUCCAAGGGGAGGUAUGAAUUUGAAGAUAAAAUUUAAGCAUCACUCAAAUAUUAUCUCUUACUUGUACUGAAUGACCUGUUUACUCAUCCUCUGCA